RNAcentral lists this long non-coding RNA (941 nucleotides) under Pan troglodytes (chimpanzee). Its description in RNAcentral is "long non-coding RNA NONPTRT000217". Lineage: Eukaryota; Metazoa; Chordata; Mammalia; Primates; Hominidae. The record is from RNAcentral.
GAAUGGCAGUGAGAAGGAAGAAAAGGGGAUACAACAGAAAGAGGACCCAGAACUGACAGCAGAUGUCCAGAUGGAUAACUCAGGUGGGGCAGGAUGAAGAAAAUGAAUGCAGUUUGGGACAUCCUGAGUUUGAGGUGAGCCUUGAGCAAAAGGUAAUUUCACUGCCCAACUCUGCAAAGAGCACCAGGGAGUCGAGGUUGCCAGCCACACUCACCGCUGGUAGGGAUGCAUGGAAGCCGACUUGAUGUUGGUUUUUAUUCCACUUGGCAUUUUCCCUGAAAGGAACAUUAAAAAAGUCAUCUUAAGCAAGAUCUUCAUCUCGGUCUGGAGACAACACCAGAGGAAUGAUGACCUGGUUACGGAACAGCGGUGUUUUUUCAUGCUUCAAGACCUUGUUCAGAGUGUUCAGCUGUCCAGAAAGCAAGGCAAAGUUGUCCAGGACAGAUGGCCUGGUGGUGGUAACAAGGUACACCCUACACUCCCUCACUGAGACAUUUUCGACAGACCUAAUGCCGGGAGAUCAUUCUCUCAUGUGCACCUCUGUAGCACAUGCACUCCAGCUUCCUCCAUCGUAGCAUCUGUGAGCCUGGCUGUCUUGUCAGUCUCUGGGAAAUCUGCCUACUCAUGAAGACUUCUCUGAAUACCAGUCCUGCUCUCCCCUUUCCUUCCCCCCACCAACGACUCCAGCUUUCCAUCUGCUCUCAUCAUUUUGUUUCAACCUUCUCCUUGCUGAAUUAAUAUGCACUCAUCUAUCUCUGUGUCAAUAUUCCCGUGCCUCUUUCACAAGCUCAGUCAACCCAUUAACAUUUAUUGAGACUACCAGCUGCAAGAAACUAAGUGACAAAUGAAAAACAAAAACCACACAUGCUUCUAAGCACUGGACAAACAAAUUAAAAUGCUGGGGGUCUGCAAAGCAUUUCCUUCCCAUCGGUGGUCUCCUG